GACGAACGCUGGCGGCGUGCUUAACACAUGCAAGUCGAACGGAAAGACCCUGCUUUUGUGGGGUGCUCGAGUGGCGAACGGGUGAGUAACACGUGAGUAACCUGCCCUUGACUUUGGGAUAACUUCAGGAAACUGGGGCUAAUACCGGAUAGGAGCUCCUACUGCAUGGUGGGGGUUGGAAAGUUUCGGCGGUUGGGGAUGGACUCGCGGCUUAUCAGCUUGUUGGUGGGGUAGUGGCUUACCAAGGCUUUGACGGGUAGCCGGCCUGAGAGGGUGACCGGCCACAUUGGGACUGAGAUACGGCCCAGACUCCUACGGGAGGCAGCAGUGGGGAAUAUUGCACAAUGGGCGGAAGCCUGAUGCAGCAACGCCGCAUGCGGGAUGACGGCCUUCGGGUUGUAAACCGCUUUCGCCUGUGACGAAGCGUGAGUGACGGUAAUGGGUAAAGAAGCACCGGCUAACUACGUG
RNAcentral lists this ribosomal RNA (468 nucleotides) under uncultured bacterium. RNAcentral's name for it is "partial 16S ribosomal RNA". It matches the Rfam family "Bacterial small subunit ribosomal RNA", at positions 28 to 507 of the family's 1533-position model. The record is from RNAcentral.